CAGAUUGGAUGUGGCUAUUUGGCCUGGAGGCUAAAGACCAUCCAGUGCAACAUUUUGCUUCCGUGCCGGAAACUCUCUACCGGCGCAACCGAUCAAGAUAGUAAAGUGAGUUUCUUCUGACUGACAUGCAACUGCUUGGAGAGGAUGGUCAUGGACGAUAUCCUUUAUGAAGCAUUCAACUGAUCGAUUAUCAAAGAGAAGAUGAGGGCCACAUUUCAAUAUCGUCAGUCACUGGUUCAGGAUCAGCAACAGUCGUCAAUAGACUUGAAUGUGUUCCCAUGAUUCCUUGACAACCCUGGUUUGAUUGAACAAGACUUCACCAUGAUGUUUGGAGAGGAGGUGUCUGGCAGACUUUUGGCAAAAUAGCCCACUUAUUUUAAACCCAGGAUCCUGCAAGAACCUGACUUCCUGAGCAUGUUGAAGAGCUCUUGUGUGCAGAGCAAAACUCUGAUGGGACAGGAUGGGACAGUGACCAGUCAAGUAUUGUACUGCUGGUUCACAUGCUUCCAUCUACCUCCAAAGGCCACAAGAAGAGUGCCAAAAUGAUCUCAUAUCAAGCCUUUGACCAUGUUGUAAGACAUCUGCGGAUUGGAACCAGUGUUGAAACCUUCUAUGCAGGUGUGCAGGACAGCCCUUUAUCCUGUGUGUUGGUGGGCAGAGGAACAACAUCCAAAGGUUCUAUGUCAUCCUUGAUCACGAGCCCAUUCCUUGCAAAGCGCAAACAUCAGUGGCAGCUUUUGAUGAGCUCUUCAGAGCACACUUCAUCUUCAGUGUCAACUACCCCAAAUCCAUCUAAAACUUAUACACAUUUACUCAAACCACGGUGUUCAACAUCUGCGAUGGAAGUGCCAAAGAAAAUCCCAGAGUCAUGGAGCUCAGAGCAACACUUGAGGUUAUAAAUAUGCUUAGUCAGCAGUUAAGGCUACAUCAUGGUUUAUAUCCUUGAAAAAUACAAUUUUACGUUUGCAAUGUGGACAGCUGCGGUGUUGCACGUUUUCAGUUUUCAAGAAACACCUUAAUAAUUUCCACAGGAAAUUUUUUUGAAUGAAUACUGUUGUCAAUGUGGACAUUCAUAAUGAAGCUGAUGAGCCCUCAUCUUCUCAAGCAGUCUGUAUAGACACCCCAUUUGCCGCCCAACAGUCUGUUGAGAAUCAUCACGUGGUAAAUAUGUGUUAUUCUGUUGUAGCACAGCUACAAGCGCAUGGUGUUGGUGAAAGCACAGUUCAAGCAAUAAUAGAAUCCAUUGAGGAACUUGUAAAGGACAUUCAUUGUCAAGUAAAAGAGGCAGUUAACAGCUGUAUUUCAGUCAUUCAGACUCAAAGACAUGAAGAAAUAUGGAUUUGAUGAUACACUAAGGCCUCUAAUUGAUCAUUUUAAUACACUUGAAGCACAAGGAAUUGAAGUGCCUUUGCUGGGUUUACAUGGACUGGUUUUGUUGGGUCCUUUAGUGGUACAUAUUGCUGUAGAGUAAAGAUGAGGUACAAUCUAUCUUCACUGAAGAUGACCCUGGCAUGAUUUUUCAUACAAAAGAAAUCUAUACACAGCAUUGUGCAUCUCUGUAGAAAACUCCAAAGUUGGAUUUAACAUUUGGGGUCAAAAAGACAUUCUUGCUCAAUACAUUGCAUCUUUCCACAAUUCUAAUAACUAUGCAGUUGACAUAAUGCGAUUUGCUUGAUUGGUGUAGUGCAGUAUGAACUGAAACAUGUAUUUCAAUACCUUGUUUACCAGACGUAUCUGUCUUUGGAAGCAUUGCCACAGAGGAUCCUAUGUUUCAAUUAUACUGAGAGAAAAAACAGACCAAGUGGGGUGAAAAUGGAUGUGAGCAAGGAUCUUGGAUUAAAUGCUAGUAUGGUUUAGAGACAGUGGCAUUAAGUAAAAGACAG
Long non-coding RNA from Silurus meridionalis, 1883 nucleotides. RefSeq lists it as uncharacterized. Lineage: Eukaryota; Metazoa; Chordata; Actinopteri; Siluriformes; Siluridae. The transcript is spliced from 4 exons. The record is from RefSeq and is a predicted model, not a curated record.